This 523-nucleotide ribosomal RNA is filed under the name uncultured Acidobacteriota bacterium. RNAcentral's name for it is "bacterial SSU rRNA". It matches the Rfam family "Bacterial small subunit ribosomal RNA", at positions 355 to 894 of the family's 1533-position model. The record is from RNAcentral. Lineage: Bacteria; Pseudomonadati; Acidobacteriota.
UCGGGAAUUUUGGGCAAUGGGGGAAACCCUGACCCAGCAACGCCGCGUGAAGGAUGAAGUAUUUCGGUAUGUAAACUUCGAAAGAAUAGGAAGAAUUAAUGACGGUACUAUUUAUAAGGUCCGGCUAACUACGUGCCAGCAGCCGCGGUAAUACGUAGGGACCAAGCGUUGUUCGGAUUUACUGGGCGUAAAGGGCGCGUAGGCGGCGCGGUAAGUCACUUGUGAAAUCUCUGAGCUUAACUCAGAACGGCCAAGUGAUACUGCAGUGCUAGAGUGUGGAAGGGGCAAUCGGAAUUCUUGGUGUAGCGGUGAAAUGCGUAGAUAUCAAGAGGAACACCUGAGGUGAAGACGGGUUGCUGGGCCAACACUGACGCUGAGGCGCGAAAGCCAGGGGAGCAAACGGGAUUAGAUACCCCGGUAGUCCUGGCCCUAAACGAUGAAUACUUGGUGUCUGGAGUUUUAAUGCUCCGGGUGCCGUCGCUAACGUUUUUAGUAUUCCGCCUGGGGAGUACGCUCGCAAGAG